This 393-nucleotide ribosomal RNA is filed under the name uncultured bacterium. Its description in RNAcentral is "bacterial SSU rRNA". It matches the Rfam family "Bacterial small subunit ribosomal RNA", at positions 505 to 898 of the family's 1533-position model. The record is from RNAcentral.
GUGUCAGCCGCCGCGGUAAUACGUAGGGGGCAAGCGUUGUCCGGAAUUACUGGGCGUAAAGGGUGCGCAGGCGGUUCUUUAAGUCAGAUGUGAAAUACCCGAGCUUAACUUGGGGGGUGCAUCUGAUACUGGAGGACUUGAGUGCAGGAGAGGAAAGUGGAAUUCCUAGUGUAGCGGUGAAAUGCGUAGAUAUUAGGAGGAACACCAGUGGCGAAGGCGACUUUCUGGACUGUAACUGACGCUGAGGCACGAAAGCGUGGGGAGCAAACAGGAUUAGAUACCCUGGUAGUCCACGCUGUAAACGAUGGAUACUAGGUGUAGGGGGCGAUAGCUCUCUGUGCCGCAGCAAACGCAAUAAGUAUCCCGCCUGGGGAGUACGAUCGCAAGGUUGAA